RNAcentral lists this ribosomal RNA (253 nucleotides) under uncultured bacterium. Its description in RNAcentral is "partial 16S ribosomal RNA". It matches the Rfam family "Bacterial small subunit ribosomal RNA", at positions 524 to 776 of the family's 1533-position model. The record is from RNAcentral.
UACGUAGGCAGCAAGCGUUGUUCGGAAUUACUGGGCGUAAAGAGUGUGUAGGCGGUGCUCUAAGUUCGGUGUGAAAUCUCCCGGCUCAACUGGGAGGGUGCGCCGGAAACUGGGGUGCUUGAGCGCGGGAGAGGAAAGCGGAAUUCCUGGUGUAGCGGUGAAAUGCGUAGAUAUCAGGAGGAACACCGGCGGUGUAGGCGGCUUUCUGGACCGUAGCUGACGCUGAGACACGAAAGCGUGGGUAGCAAACAGG